RNAcentral lists this ribosomal RNA (468 nucleotides) under uncultured bacterium. RNAcentral describes it as "partial 16S ribosomal RNA". It matches the Rfam family "Bacterial small subunit ribosomal RNA", at positions 28 to 507 of the family's 1533-position model. The record is from RNAcentral.
GACGAACGCUGGCGGCGUGCUUAACACAUGCAAGUCGAACGGAAAGGCCCUGCUUUUGUGAGGUGCUCGAGUGGCGAACGGGUGAGUAACACGUGAGUAACCUGCCCUUGACUGUGGGAUAACUUCAGGAAACUGGGGCUAAUACCGGAUAGGAGCUCCUGCUGCAUGGUGGGGGUUGGAAAGUUUCGGCGGAUGGGGAUGGACUCGCGGCUUAUCAGCUUGUUGGUGGGGUAGUGGCAUACCAAGGCUUUGACGGGUAGCCGGCCUGAGAGGGUGACCGGCCACAUUGGGACUGAGAUACGGCCCAGACUCCUACGGGGGGCAGCAGUGGGGAAUAUUGCACAAUGGGCGGAAGCCUGAUGCAGCAACGCCGCGUGCGGGAUGACGGCCUUCGGGUUGUAAACCGCUUUCGCCUGUGACGAAGCGUGAGUGACGGUAAUGGGUAAAGAAGCACCGGCUAACUACGUG